RNAcentral lists this unclassified non-coding RNA (434 nucleotides) under Hevea brasiliensis (rubber tree). Lineage: Eukaryota; Viridiplantae; Streptophyta; Magnoliopsida; Malpighiales; Euphorbiaceae. The record is from RNAcentral.
UCAACGAUUGGUGCAGCCCUUUGGUUUUGGAAGAGCCCGUUACGCGAUACACUAUUAUUUAUAGGCAAAUAUGGAGUUGCUGGUGUAAAGCCGUUAUAACCGUUAUGUAACAGCCAUUAUUUACUGUUAUGCAAUGGUGGCAGUCUGAUGCAAUCACAUGGAAAUAGUAUUAUUUUGCUUCUCUUUUCUUUGUUUGCGUAUUUUCACUUCCAUAGCUGCUAUAUUUCUCAUAUUCUUUCAAAUUUUCACCCAAAAUUUCUCCUUUAUUCUACAAAUUCUCUCCCUUAUUGUUUGCUAAGCUAAGAUCAUCAUUAAAUAUCUCUAUUCUAGCUAUAAAUUGUUUAAUGCUAAUGAUGUCUAAACAUUAUAGAUUUAAUGCAUUUAUAUGAUGUAUUUAUGCUUAUUAUAUGGUUGUGUAUCUUAGUUUUACUUAU